Molecule: ribosomal RNA, 253 nt
Filed under: uncultured bacterium
Lineage: Bacteria
Description: partial 16S ribosomal RNA
Rfam family: Bacterial small subunit ribosomal RNA
Source: RNAcentral
UACGUAGGGUGCAAGCGUUAUCCGGAAUUAUUGGGCGUAAAGAGCUCGUAGGCGGUCUGUCGCGUCUGCUGUGAAAACUCGGGGCUUAACCCCGGGCCUGCAGUGGGUACGGGCAGACUAGAGUGCGGUAGGGGAGACUGGAAUUCCUGGUGUAGCGGUGAAAUGCGCAGAUAUCAGGAGGAACACCGGUGGCGAAGGCGGGUCUCUGGGCCGUAACUGACGCUGAGGAGCGAAAGCGUGGGGAGCGAACAGG